This is a long non-coding RNA of Micropterus salmoides (largemouth bass), 494 nucleotides long. RefSeq lists it as uncharacterized. The transcript has 2 exons. The record is from RefSeq and is a predicted model, not a curated record. Lineage: Eukaryota; Metazoa; Chordata; Actinopteri; Centrarchiformes; Centrarchidae.
GUCGCAGCCAUACAAUAGGGCAUGGCUGGUGGGGGCCCUCCAAAACCUUGGCCACCGAGUGCAAACACCAGAGGCCAGAUAUCCAUUGAGCAAAUACCAGGUUGGAGAGGAGAAGAGCAAAGGAAAGACUCACCCUCCAUGGAGUGAGCAACAUUAUACUGUAUGUCUGCAACCAGAUGUCUCAGACGGCGAGCCAGUUUCUAUCCAAUAAUAUAAUAGUACCAACUCUGGUCAGGAGAUGGCAGUAUGUUCCCAUCAUAUAGCAAACGCCAUGCCUUAUACUGUAAUAGAAAAGCAGGGAUGCUUCACAAAAACAUUAGAUUAGAUGCACAGCAGGGCUUGAAUGAAAAGGUAGAGGUUGAAUGACUGACUAUCUGAAAGCCUAUGCGCUUCAAUGUUCUGGCAUUUAGCCUAUACGGUGUUGGGACUCUGAUAAUACAAACAUUUUGAGAUGUCAAAAAAAUUAAGAAAUUACAGAAAACCUGACAGUUUGA